This 497-nucleotide ribosomal RNA is filed under the name uncultured bacterium. Its description in RNAcentral is "partial 16S ribosomal RNA". It matches the Rfam family "Bacterial small subunit ribosomal RNA", at positions 28 to 507 of the family's 1533-position model. The record is from RNAcentral.
GAUGAACGCUGGCGGCGUGCCUAAUACAUGCAAGUCGAGCGAACAGACGAGGAGCUUGCUCCUCUGACGUUAGCGGCGGACGGGUGAGUAACACGUGGAUAACCUACCUAUAAGACUGGGAUAACUUCGGGAAACCGGAGCUAAUACCGGAUAAUAUAUUGAACCGCAUGGUUCAAUAGUGAAAUACGGUUUUGCUGUCACUUAUAGAUGGAUCCGCGCCUCAUUAGCUAGUUGUUAAGGUAACGGCUUACCAAGGCAACGAUGCGUAGCCGACCUGAGAGGGUGAUCGGCCACACUGGAACUGAGACACGGACCAGAGUCCUACGGGAGGCAGCAGUCUGGAAUCUUCCGCAGUGGGCGGAAGCCUGACGGAGCAGCGCCGAGUGAGUGAUGAAGGUCUUCGGAUCGUAAAACUCUGUUAUUAGGGAAGAACAAAUGUGUAAGUAAAUAUGCACGUCUUGACGGUACCUAAUCAGAAAGCCACGGCUAACUACGUG